This 197-nucleotide ribosomal RNA is filed under the name uncultured bacterium. RNAcentral describes it as "partial 16S ribosomal RNA". It matches the Rfam family "Bacterial small subunit ribosomal RNA", at positions 328 to 539 of the family's 1533-position model. The record is from RNAcentral.
ACGCUCGACACCUACGGGAGGCAGCAGUGGGGAUAUUGCACAAUGGAGGAAACUCUGAUGCAGCGACGCCGCGUGAGGGAAGAAGGUUUUCGGAUUGUAAACCUCUGUCUUCGGUGACGAAAAUGACGGUAGCCGAGGAGGAAGCCACGGCUAACUACGUGCCAACAGCCGCGGUAAUCUGAGCGGGCUGGCAAGGC